This 695-nucleotide ribosomal RNA is filed under the name Streptomyces cacaoi. RNAcentral's name for it is "bacterial SSU rRNA". It matches the Rfam family "Bacterial small subunit ribosomal RNA", at positions 33 to 744 of the family's 1533-position model. The record is from RNAcentral. Lineage: Bacteria; Bacillati; Actinomycetota; Actinomycetes; Kitasatosporales; Streptomycetaceae.
ACUUGGCGGCGUGCUUACACAUGCAAGUCGAACGAUGAACCGGUUUCGGCCGGGGAUUCCUGGCGAACGGGUGAGUAACACGUGGGCAAUCUGCCCUGCACUCUGGGACAAGCCCUGGAAACGGGGUCUAAUACCGGAUAUGAUCACCGGCCGCAUGGUCUGGUGGUGGAAAGCUCCGGCGGUGCAGGAUGAGCCCGCGGCCUAUCAGCUUGUUGGUGGGGUGAUGGCCUACCAAGGCGACGACGGGUAGCCGGCCUGAGAGGGCGACCGGCCACACUGGGACUGAGACACGGCCCAGACUCCUACGGGAGGCAGCAGUGGGGAAUAUUGCACAAUGGGCGAAAGCCUGAUGCAGCGACGCCGCGUGAGGGAUGACGGCCUUCGGGUUGUAAACCUCUUUCAGCAGGGAAGAAGCGUGAGUGACGGUACCUGCAGAAGAAGCACCGGCUAACUACGUGCCAGCAGCCGCGGUAAUACGUAGGGUGCGAGCGUUGUCCGGAAUUAUUGGGCGUAAAGAGCUCGUAGGCGGCUUGUCGCGUCGGAUGUGAAAGCCCGGGGCUUAACCCCGGGUCUGCAUUCGAUACGGGCAGGCUAAAGUUCGGUAGGGGAAAUCGGAAUUCCUGGUGUACGGUGAAAAUGCGCAGAUAUCAGGAGGAACACCGGGUGGCGAAGCGGAUCUCUGGGCCGAUACUGAC